Molecule: long non-coding RNA, 1073 nt
Filed under: Aquilegia coerulea
Lineage: Eukaryota; Viridiplantae; Streptophyta; Magnoliopsida; Ranunculales; Ranunculaceae
Description: long non-coding RNA (ACOE_LNC000780)
Source: RNAcentral
UCAUAUUAUAAACAAGAAUUUCAUUAAGAUCGAAAAGGUAGCAUGAUCCCAAUAUAGCCAGAGUGUUAUAAAAUUCUAUAACCAAAUGUAACAAGUGACUAAACCAAGGUAACCAGAUCACAAAAGUACACAUUAUGUCCAACUACAUGCCUGACUUAACAUUUCAAGAACACGUACUGCUAGAAUGGAACACCAACAACUCUUUUGGCCAAAUAACACUUCCUUGACCAAUUUGACCGAGUGUUGUAAAAUAUUCAUCAUGAGGGCAUGGUAGUUGAACAUUUGGAUCAUGGACGACGUCAACAUAAACUUUGAAAUUUCCUUCCUCUAAUCUCCUAUCACCAAAAUCUGUGGACGGGUCGACAUCUUGCACAAUCCCCCUAGCAACAACCUGUAGAGGCCAGCGACAACCACCACGUAUAUCACAUUCCUUACCAAUGUGGAUACUGUCCAUCUGUAAGUUAAAGAUAUUAAUUAGCAUAUCAUUUUUGUGAAAUCUUUGACAUUUUAGAGAGUUUAGAACCUGAAGGUUUACUUUCAAAUAUUGAAAACUUACUGUAGCAGAGUGUCUAGAAGCUAAGUAUGGGAAGAUGGUGAUGAAAUAUCUGGUGUAAAUGUUCUCCCUUGCAUAGCAAACAAUGUUCUGAUCUCACUCAUGUUUGCAUCCAUUUUGGCCUCCAUGAUCUCGACCCUCUUCUCCAGCGCAGAAUUUCUCUCUAUCAACGCUGCGUUCUUUUUUAACACGGGCUCCAUCAUUUGAAUUUGUGUUUUACAGACUCCAGGUCCCAUGCCUCGAAAUCGACCUUUUCCAUCUCUUCCAACAGUCUACACUAAUGAAACCAUUUAACAUUUACAAAAAAAUGAAAUAUAUAUAUAUAUAUCUUGUGUUUAUAACAAAGUUAAGUCUCCAUACAUUUGCAAUUGCGUCAUUAAUUGAUGUUGCUUGAGAUUCAGGGUGCUUAGAGAUCUAGUUAUCGAUCGAAUCCUAUAAGCACAACGCAAGUAAAAAUUGUCGGUAAGAAUUCUGAAAUUUUGAAAUAAAAAUCAUAGUAUAAAACUUUAUUUGAAUAAAC